UCCAUUGUACAUAUGCACCGCAUCUUCUUUAUCUGCUGAUGGACGUGAAGGUUGCUUUCAUGUCUUGGCUAUUGUAAAUAGUGCUGCUAUGAACAUAAGGGUGCGUGUAUCUUUUCCAGUUAUAGUUUUCUCCGGAUAGAUCCCAGGAGUGAGAUUGCUAGAUCUUAUGGUAACUCUAUUUUUAGAUUUUUUAAAGAACAUCCAUGCUGUUCUCUGCAGUGUCUGCACCCAUUUGCAUUCUUAUCAACAGUGUAGGAAGUUCCCUUUUCUCCACACCCUCUCCAGCAUUUAUUAUUUGUAGACUUUUUGGGGCAGACUUUUUGAUGCACUUUGUUUCUUGUCAGCUCCUCCCUUGUCUCUGUAUCCCCUCCCUUCCCUGAUUAGCAACUGUGUGAACCUUCCCUUUGGAACUCAGGGAAGAUCAAGGGGUCUGAAUGAACUCUUAUUUCCUCCAAGCAAGAAGUGGUGGUGCGGGGGUGGGGGAGACAUGGAGAGGAUUUGUGCUGGGACCCGCAGAGUCCCACCUUGUUUCACCCCAGCCCCCACCAGCCUCAGGCUGCCUGGAUCACCGCGGGGCUUCUGCUCGGCCUCAUUUCCACUCUUAUUUCUCCCAGGGGUUUGUCUCCUGAGAUGCUGACACCAAGGUGGCAUUAAAUGAGGGAAGAUUUUGUGAGGGGAUCUGCCCAUGAGGAAACAUCGGGAAAGGGAAGAGGAGGCAGGGAAAGCCAUGAAGCUGCCAAGUGAGUCAGCCCCCAGGUGAAGAGGAGAGGGAGAUGGACAGAUGCCAGGAGGACACUGGCUCUGAAGUCUUUCCCAGCAUCAGGGUCUUUUCUUCGCAUCAGGUUGCCAAAGUAUUGGAGCUUCGGCUUCAACAUCAGUCCUUCCAAUGAAUAUUCAGACGAGGCUCAGCUACAAAAAACCAGAGAGUGGGUCACUAGGUAAUGAGACCUCCAGAAGAGCUGAAAAACAGAACCACAUGCCUGGGCGAUCUGCAUCCGUAUCCUUUGGCUCAGAACGUCCAACCCCACGUCUGUCUAAAAAACGACAUCAGGCCAGAGGAAUGUGAAAGCUGUCUGCCCCACGAAUUGUACCUCUUUACCCGUCUGUAAUAAAGCCAACCUCGCAUCCAUUUCAA
This is a long non-coding RNA of Bubalus bubalis (water buffalo), 1135 nucleotides long. RefSeq lists it as uncharacterized. The transcript is spliced from 2 exons. Lineage: Eukaryota; Metazoa; Chordata; Mammalia; Artiodactyla; Bovidae. The record is from RefSeq and is a predicted model, not a curated record.